CUGGAUGUCCACCGUAUCACUGUUAAGAACGUUUCUGGCUACCCAAUAUCCUGACUUAACAUUGUACAUCACAUUCUUAGUAUAGCUCCAACAAUACUUAUCUCGAUGAUAUCCUUAGCUUAUGGCCAACGAUUGAUCAGUGAGAUAUUCUCCGGACUGACAUAGUUUUCAAGCAUCGCCGAGUUCCAUCUCUUUGGGUUCCCUAUCAUCAACUAUGUCUUAUUUU
Molecule: long non-coding RNA, 226 nt
Filed under: Brassica rapa (field mustard)
Lineage: Eukaryota; Viridiplantae; Streptophyta; Magnoliopsida; Brassicales; Brassicaceae
Description: long non-coding RNA (BRAP_LNC003640)
Source: RNAcentral